AUUGAACGCUGGCGGCAUGCCUUACACAUGCAAGUCGAACGGCAGCACGGGAGCAAUCCUGGUGGCGAGUGGCGAACGGGUGAGUAAAGUAUCGGAACGUGCCCAGUCGUGGGGGAUAACGUAGCGAAAGUUACGCUAAUACCGCAUACGAUCUAUGGAUGAAAGCGGGGGAUCGCAAGACCUCGCGCGAUUGGAGCGGCCGAUAUCAGAUUAGGUAGUUGGUGGGGUAAAGGCUCACCAAGCCGACGAUCUGUAGCUGGUCUGAGAGGACGACCAGCCACACGAGGACUGAGACACGGCCCAGACUCCUAGGGGAGGCAGCAGUGGGGAAUUUUGGACAAUGGGCGCAAGCCUGAUCCAGCCAUGCCGCGUGCAGGAUGAAGGCCUUCGGGUUGUAAACUGCUUUUGUACGGAACGAAAAGGUUUGGCUUAAUACGUUGAACUCAUGACGGUACCGUAAGAAUAAGCACCGGCUAACUACGUGCCAGCCGCCGCAGUAA
RNAcentral lists this ribosomal RNA (500 nucleotides) under uncultured bacterium. Its description in RNAcentral is "partial 16S ribosomal RNA". It matches the Rfam family "Bacterial small subunit ribosomal RNA", at positions 30 to 523 of the family's 1533-position model. The record is from RNAcentral.